GGGGCACAUGAGCCGAUGAGGUGCACUUUCAAAUUGACACGGGGGUGUUACAUUUUCACAUUCUUGCUCACUCUGCCCAGGCUGAUAGGAGAGGGAGAUGGGGGAAGAGGGAGUUUUGUCUUUCUGGAUUUUUUUAAUCCCCUCCACAAGUUUCUGUUCCCAGUGACCCCUCUGCUGCAGAGUGUCUGUGUUAAGGGAGGUUAUUUUCGUUAACAACGGUCUGUGUUACCAGAGCUCUUCCCCAAGAGGUGGUGAAGGUGGCAGAUUGAUCUUCUGGCCUCUUCAAGCACUUGCCAACACCUGACCCGUAAGGACAUCACAGAUGCCUAAGCCAAGGACAAAUAAAAGCCUUAGCUUGGCUCUCCUGCGAACCGCAACAGCAUGUAUUUCCACCGGCCUCAACACCUUACACCGCCCUCUUGAAUGGAAACGUCACUGGAAAAUUUGCGUCCCAGAAGCCAUUGCAUUUACUCUCAGAGAUGUCCUUGCUCAAGUUUAAUAAGGAGAGUCUGCCUGGAUCAGUGCCAGAUUUCUUCAGGCUGACUGGAAGGUAAUUAAGUGGCAGCAGACUGGGGCAUGCUGUUUCAGGCAUCCGUAUGAAAUGAUAAUGGCAGGGCUGCUGCCUUAACAUAAAA
Molecule: long non-coding RNA, 635 nt
Organism: Siniperca chuatsi (mandarin fish)
Lineage: Eukaryota; Metazoa; Chordata; Actinopteri; Centrarchiformes; Sinipercidae
Exons: 3
Source: RefSeq, a predicted model, not a curated record